Molecule: non-coding RNA, 66 nt
Organism: Podarcis lilfordi (Lilford's wall lizard)
Lineage: Eukaryota; Metazoa; Chordata; Lepidosauria; Squamata; Lacertidae
Source: the annotation of a GenBank genome assembly
CGCUCAGUCGAUAGAACAUGAGACUCUUAAUCUCAAGGUUGUGGGUUUUGAACCCCAUGUUGGGGA